CUGCAGUAUUUUGACUGUACUAAGGUAGCAUAAUCAUUAGUUUUUUAAUUAAAAGCUAGAAUGAAGGGUUGGAUGAAAAAAUAACUGUCUCUGUUUAAAUAAAAAGAAUUUUAUUUUUAAGUUAAAAAGCUUAAAUUUUAUUAAAAGACGAGAAGACCCUAUAGAGUUUUAUGAAUAAAAUUAUUUAUGUUUAGGAUUAAUAAAUAUAAUGAUUUGAUUUGUUUGAUUGGGGUGAUUAAAAAAUUUAUUGACCUUUUUAUUUAUUUUUAUAUAAAUUUAUAAAUUAUUGAUCCAAUUUUAUUGAUUAAAAGAAAAAAUUACCUUAGGGAUAACAGCGUAAUUUUAUUAGAGAGUU
Molecule: ribosomal RNA, 355 nt
Filed under: Pseudoluperus lecontii
Lineage: Eukaryota; Metazoa; Arthropoda; Insecta; Coleoptera; Chrysomelidae
Description: partial 16S ribosomal RNA
Source: RNAcentral